Molecule: unclassified non-coding RNA, 388 nt
Filed under: Hevea brasiliensis (rubber tree)
Lineage: Eukaryota; Viridiplantae; Streptophyta; Magnoliopsida; Malpighiales; Euphorbiaceae
Source: RNAcentral
GCUCAAAGGCGAAAGGCUUAUUGAUUACAUCCUCAGCUCCUUUAACAGUGAGGCAUUCAGCAACAGAGACAACUCCACGCGGAACGGCGGCAGAUGUGACGGACGAAGGGUCUUUGAACCAGAGAAGCUUGCCUUGUUUAAGAAUGAACCAUCGACGGCGCCAGGUCUUGAUAUACUCUCCUUGCUUCGUGAGCCAUCCGUCUCGCUCAGGGUUUGACCAAAAUUCGAUUUCCUCGUAGUCUGAGGGGUUAGGGUUUGCGCCGGUCACUGAUCGGAAUAGACUCUCCAUUUUAGUUGGCUCUUGGGCUUCGAAUUGGACGGAAUACUGUGAUUUGUAUCUUUGUAUUUAUCGCCGGCGAAACGACGGAGUAGAGAUCGUUGUGCUUCG